Molecule: ribosomal RNA, 191 nt
Filed under: uncultured bacterium
Lineage: Bacteria
Description: partial 16S ribosomal RNA
Rfam family: Bacterial small subunit ribosomal RNA
Source: RNAcentral
GCAGGCUGCAACUCGCCUGCAUGAAGUCGGAGUUGCUAGUAAUCGCAGAUCAGAAUGCUGCGGUGAAUGCGUUCCCGGGUCUUGUACACACCGCCCGUCACACCAUGGAAGUUGGGGGCGCCCGAAGUCGGCUAGGAAAUAGGCUGCCUAAGGUGAAACCAAUGACUGGGGUGAAGUCGUAACAAGGUAGC